AAAUUACUUAUCAUAAAUAGUAAUAACGGUCCAUAUGGUAUAUAAUAGAAAAGACAAGUGUCCGCAUUGAGUAUCCAAACCCAUGCUCCUCUAUAAGUUCCCUCGACAGUCAACACUCUUACCAUGUUUGUGUGAUUUUUUCCUUUUGGUAAGUGCCUCAAUCACAACUUCGGAUGAAGACACAAUAUCUCUCCUUGUUACC
Molecule: long non-coding RNA, 202 nt
Filed under: Phoenix dactylifera (date palm)
Lineage: Eukaryota; Viridiplantae; Streptophyta; Magnoliopsida; Arecales; Arecaceae
Description: long non-coding RNA (PDAC_LNC013202)
Source: RNAcentral